This 853-nucleotide ribosomal RNA is filed under the name Neodidymelliopsis cannabis. RNAcentral describes it as "LSU rRNA". It matches the Rfam family "Eukaryotic large subunit ribosomal RNA", at positions 36 to 909 of the family's 3401-position model. Lineage: Eukaryota; Fungi; Ascomycota; Dothideomycetes; Pleosporales; Didymellaceae. The record is from RNAcentral.
UAGCAUAUCCAUAGCGGAGGAAAAGAAACCAACAGGGAUUGCCCUAGUAACGGCGAGUGAAGCGGCAACAGCUCAAAUUUGAAAUCUGGGUCUUUGGCGUCCGAGUUGUAAUUUGCAGAGGGCGCUUUGGCAUCGGCAGCGGUCCAAGUUCCUUGGAACAGGACGUCACAGAGGGUGAGAAUCCCGUACGUGAUCGCUAGCCUUUACCGUGUAAAGCCCCUUCGACGAGUCGAGUUGUUUGGGAAUGCAGCUCUAAAUGGGAGGUAAAUUUCUUCUAAAGCUAAAUACUGGCCAGAGACCGAUAGCGCACAAGUAGAGUGAUCGAAAGAUGAAAAGCACUUUGGAAAGAGAGUUAAAAAGCACGUGAAAUUGUUGAAAGGGAAGCGCUUGCAGCCAGACUUGCCUGUAGUUGCUCAUCCGGGUUUUUAUCCGGUGCACUCUUCUAUAGGCAGGCCAGCAUCAGUUUGGGCGGUUGGAUAAAGGUCUCUGUCAUGUACCUCUCUUCGGGGAGAACUUAUAGGGGAGACGACAUGCAACCAGCCUGGACUGAGGUCCGCGCAUCUGCUAGGAUGCUGGCGUAAUGGCUGUAAGCGGCCCGUCUUGAAACACGGACCAAGGAGUCUAACAUCUAUGCGAGUGUUUGGGUGUCAAGCCCGAACGCGUAAUGAAAGUGAACGGAGGUGGGAACCUUUCGGGGUGCACCAUCGACCGAUCCUGAUGUCUUCGGAUGGAUUUGAGUAAGAGCAUAGCUGUUGGGACCCGAAAGAUGGUGAACUAUGCUUGAAUAGGGUGAAGCCAGAGGAAACUCUGGUGGAGGCUCGCAGCGGUUCUGACGUGCAAAUCGAUCGUCAAA